GCCGAAGCGAAAGCGAGUCUUAAGAGGGCGAAAGUUGCAUGCAGUAGACCCGAAACCGGGUGAUCUAGCCAUGACCAGGUUGAAGUUGGGGUAAAACCCGAUGGAGGACCGAACCGACCCCCGUUGAAACGUUGGCGGAUGAGUUGUGGCUAGGGGUGAAAUUCCAAUCGAACCCGGAGAUAGCUGGUUCUCCCCGAAAUAGCUUUAGGGCUAGCGUCGAGGUAGAAGAGUUGCGUGAAGGUAGAGCACUGAAUAUGUGAUGGCCCCAUCUCGGGGUACUGAGCAUAAUCAAACUGCGAAUGUCACGGAAACAUACUCGGCAGUCAGACAGCGGGUGAUAAGGUCCGUUGUCAAGAGGGAAACAGCCCAGACCAUCAGCUAAGGUCCCAAAAUGUAUGCUAAGUGGAAAAGGAUGUGGAGAUGUACAGACAACUAGGAGGUUGGCUCAGAAGCAGCCAUCCUUUAAAGAGUGCGUAACAGCUCACUAGUCGAAUGACUCUGCGCCGAUAAUUUACCGGGGCUAAGCAUACUACCGAAGCUAUGGAUCCCAAGGGAUGGUAGGGGAGCGUUCCAUGAACGGAGAAGCGCGAUCGAGAGGACGCGUGGAGAUCAUGGAAGAGAGAAUGCCGGUGUGAGUAGCGGAACGUGGGUGAGAAUCCCACGCACCGAAAACCCAAGGUUUCCAGAGGAAGGUUCGUCCGCUCUGGGUAAGUCGGGACCUAAGGCGAGGCCGAGAGGCGUAGUCGAUGGACAACAGGUAGAGAUUCCUGUACUCAUAUAUAUGUGAAGGAAUGACGGAGAGAGGAAGCUGCAGCCAGCGGCUGGAAGAGCUGGUGCAAGCGAGAUAUCGGGAUGGCAGGCAAAUCCACCAUCCGAAACGAGAAGGCGUGAAGCGUACGGAAAGCUAAGGCGAGUACGGAAGGCAGUGGAGGAGCUUCCAAGAAAAGUUUCUAACGAAAGUAUAUGUGACCCGUACCGAAAAUGGACACACAUGGGUGAGGAGAGAAUCCUAAGGUGAGCGAGAGAACUAUAGCUAAGGAACUCUGCAAAAUGACUCCGUAACUUAGGGAGAAGGAGUGCUCAUAGAGAUAUGAGCCGCAGUGAAACGGCCCAAGCGACUGUUUACCAAAAACACAGCUCUCUGCUAAGCCGCAAGGCGAAGUAUAGGGGGUGACGCCUGCCCGGUGCUGGAAGGUUAAGGGGAGGGGUUAACGCAAGUGAAGCCCUGAACUGAAGCCCCAGUAAACGGCGGCCGUAACUAUAACGGGCCUAAGGUAGCGAAAUUCCUUGUCAGGUAAGUUCUGACCCGCACGAAAGGCGUAACGAUUUGGGCGCUGUCUCAGCUGUAGACUCGGUGAAGUCUUAGUACCUGUGAAGAUGCAGGUUACCCGCGACUAGACGGAAAGACCCCAUGGAGCUUCACUGCAGGUUGAUAUUGGGAUUUGAUGCAGCAUGUACAGGAUAGGUAGGAGGCAAAGAGAUGGAUACGCCAGUAUUCAAGGAGCCGCUGUUGGGAUACUACCCCUGUUGUAUUGGAUUUCUAACCGGACGACGUAAAGCCGUUGACGGGACAGUGUCAGUCGGGCAGUUUGACUGGGGCGGUCGCCUCCCAAAGAGUAACGGAGGCGCCCAAAGAUACCCUCAGCUUGGAUGGAAACCAAGCGCAGAGUGCAAAGGCAAAAGGGUGUUUGACUGCGAGACCUACAAGUCGAGCAGGGACGAAAGUCGGGCUUAGUGAUCCGGCGGUGCUGAAUGGAAAGGCCGUCGCUCAACGGAUAAAAGCUACCCUGGGGAUAACAGGCUGAUCUCCCCCAAGAGUUCACAUCGACGGGGAGGUUUGGCACCUCGAUGUCGGCUCAUCGCAUCCUGGAGCUGAAGUCGGUUCCAAGGGUUGGGCUGUUCGCCCAUUAAAGCGGUACGCGAGCUGGGUUCAGAACGUCGUGAGACAGUUCGGUCCCUAUCUGUCGUGGGCGCAGGAAAUUUGAGAAGAGCUGUCCUCAGUACGAGAGGACCGGGAUGGACGCAUCAAUGGUGGACCAGUUGUCACGCCAGUGGCAUAGCUGGGUAGCUAAAUGCGGAAGGGAUAAACGCUGAAGGCAUCUAAGUGUGAAACCCACUUCAAGAUGAGAUUUCCCAUUGC
Molecule: ribosomal RNA, 2140 nt
Filed under: human gut metagenome
Description: bacterial LSU rRNA
Rfam family: Bacterial large subunit ribosomal RNA
Source: RNAcentral